GUUGAUCAACAUAUUCGUUCUGUAUAUAUAUAUAUAUAUAUAUAUAUAUAUAUGGGAACAUAUUCAUCCUUUUUAGGUAUAAAAAUAAAGCAAAACAAUUCAGAAUAUUUAUGUGGCACUCCACCGGAAGUCGUAUGUUUGGGGAAUCAGGCAAUUGGCUUCAUUUUUCUACCAUCUAAUAACAUUCUAGGCCUCCAAGUGGAGUUUCAGAUGAUCAGUGUAUAUAGGCUCUUCAAACUUUGAUAAUAUAAUAUCAAGAAGAAAAUAUAUUUUUUAAUCCAUCUUAGUUUUUCAAUAUGUUACCUGAACCCACUCAAAGUAGCUGACAGUCACACCUCCAGCAUUUGCAUAUAUAUCAGGGAGUAUUACAACUCCUUUCUUGGAUAGAAUCUGCAAUAUCAAAAUCUCAUAAAUAAGAACCAUAAAAAUCUUUCUCCACCUUUCUGUAGUAAACAGCAAAAGCAGAGGUGUAAAGUUACCUCAUCUGCUUCUGGGUCAGUUGGAUGGUUUGCUGCCUCUACUAUGAACUUGGCCUUUACAUCUGAAGCAUUAUCCCUUCAAAGGGACAAAUAGGCAAAAUUAGCUGAGGUUCAUGUGAUUGUUAGUAAAAGAAAUAAAAUUGGAAGAACUACAAUAAAGUUCCAAGAACAUAACAGGAAUGCUAGCAGUAGCAAUUAGAAAUUGAAAAAGACAUGCAAUACUUUGAUAGGAAACUGAAAAGCAUAGAACAGGUUGCUUGUUAAAAUGCUAACCUAUUUAAGACUCCACCUAAAGCACAAGGGAUGAGCACAUCACAUUCAUGUACCAGCAGUUCAUUAGGAUCCAUGGAGUCUCCACCGUGAAAAUUUGUCAAACCACCAGUGGAUUCUUUAUGCCUGAGCAAUUCUGGUAUAUCAAGUCCAUUCAGGUUCUUGACUGCACCGGUGAUGUCAUUCACUGCUAUAAUCUUCCCACCUCUCUCAUGUAUGAGCCUUGUUACCCAAGACCCCACAUUCCCAAAACCCUGAAAAUUAAAAGGGUUAAAUUAGCAAUAUUUUAAUGAAAUAACAAUCACAUAAAAGAAUGUAAUUUAAAUGAUAACCAAAUUCAGAAAUGAAAUUUUUUUUCGAGAUUACCUGAACCACAAAUGUCAAACCCUUAAUGGAUUUCCCAUAUUCAGCAAGCAAAGCUUCAGUAGCAUAAACAACUCCACGACCAGUUGCUGCCUCUCUACCCAGUGAUCCACCGAGAUCCUAGUAACAAAUAUGGAUAAGAGAUAGAUGAGGAGAUAAGCAUUAUUUAUUCUGCUUUAAGAUGACAGUUUCAAAUUUAACACACAAACACUUGGAAAAUAACAGUCUUUAACACUUACUAUAGGCUUUCCUGUCACAACAGCUGGUGAGUGACCAUGAAACUUUGAGUAUUCGUCCAAUAUCCACGCCAUUGUCUGUUUACAUAUUUUAUCAUCUAAUUAUGACUAAAUUAAUUAAAUUCGAGAAAGUGAACAUAUGAACAAAUAUACUAUUAAAAGAAAUCAGUGCAGAUGAAAAUACCUGUGAAUUAGUGCCCAUAUCUGGUGCUGGAACAUCAGUAUGAGUACCAAUGAGAUCAUGGAUCUUCUGAGUAAAGACACGGGUAAGUCGUUCUAGCUCACUUAAUUCAUCCUUUUUAGGUAUAAAAAUAAAGCAAAACAAUUCAGAAUAUUUAUGUGGCACUCCACCGGAAGUCGUAUGUUUGGGGAAUCAGGCAAUUGGCUUCAUUUUUCUACCAUCUAAUAACAUUCUAGGCCUCCAAGUGGAGUUUCAGAUGAUCAGUGUAUAUAGGCUCUUCAAACUUUGAUAAUAUAAUAUCAAGAAGAAAAUAUAUUUUUUAAUCCAUCUUAGUUUUUC
This 1868-nucleotide long non-coding RNA is filed under the name Jatropha curcas. RNAcentral's name for it is "long non-coding RNA (JCUR_LNC003243)". Lineage: Eukaryota; Viridiplantae; Streptophyta; Magnoliopsida; Malpighiales; Euphorbiaceae. The record is from RNAcentral.